UGCCGGUUGAUCCCGCCGGAGGCCACUGCUAUUGGGAUCCGAUUAAGCCAUGCGAGUCGAGAGGGUUCGGCCCUCGGCAGACUGCUCAGUAACACGUGGAUAACCUAACCUUAGGUGGAAAAUAACCUCGGGAAACUGAGAAUAAUAUUCCAUAGAUCUAGGAUGCUGGAAUGCAUCUAGAUUGAAAGUUCCGACGCCUAAGGAUGGGUCUGCGGACUAUCAGGUUGUAGUCAGGGUAAAGACCUGACUAGCCUACGACGGAUAUGGGUUGUGAGAGCAAUAGCCCAGAGACGAUAUCUGAGACACGAUAUCGGGCCCUACGGGGCGCAGCAGGCGCGAAAUCUUCACAAUGUGCGAAAGCACGAUGAGGGGAUCCCAAGUGCUGGCACGUAAGUGUCAGCUGUUUCUUAGUCUAAAACUGAGAGAGUAAGGGCUGGGUAAGACGGGUGCCAGCCGCCGCGGUAAUACCCGCAGCUCAAGUGGUGGCCGCUAUUAUUGGGCCUAAAACGUCCGUAGCCUGUUUAGUAAAUGCUUGGGUAAAUUGUAUAGCUUAACUAUACGAAUACCGAGUAGACUGCUAAACUUGGGGCCGGGAGAGGCUAGAGGUACUCCUGGGGUAGAGGUGAAAUUCUGUAAUCCUAGGGGGACCACCAGUGGCGAAGGCGUCUAGCUAGAACGGGUYUGACGKGAGGACGAAGCCCUGGGGCSCAAACCGGAUUARUACCCGGGUAGUCCAGGGUGUAACSCUGCUUGCU
This 755-nucleotide ribosomal RNA is filed under the name uncultured archaeon. RNAcentral describes it as "bacterial SSU rRNA". The record is from RNAcentral.